This 74-nucleotide transfer RNA is filed under the name Thermoplasmata archaeon. RNAcentral's name for it is "tRNA-Val". It matches the Rfam family "tRNA". From Rfam's summary of the family: Transfer RNA (tRNA) molecules are approximately 80 nucleotides in length. Their secondary structure includes four short double-helical elements and three loops (D, anti-codon, and T loops). Further hydrogen bonds mediate the characteristic L-shaped molecular structure. tRNAs have two regions of fundamental functional importance: the anti-codon, which is responsible for specific mRNA codon recognition, and the 3' end, to which the tRNAs corresponding amino acid is attached (by aminoacyl-tRNA synthetases). tRNAs cope with the degeneracy of the genetic code in two manners: having more than one tRNA (with a specific anti-codon) for a particular amino acid; and 'wobble' base-pairing, i.e. permitting non-standard base-pairing at the 3rd anti-codon position. Lineage: Archaea; Methanobacteriati; Thermoplasmatota; Thermoplasmata. The record is from RNAcentral.
GGGCUUAUGGUCUAGUUGGUUAUGACGUCGCUCUCACACAGCGGAGGUCGCCGGUUCGAAUCCGGCUAAGCCCA